CCUACGGGGGGCUGCAGUGAGGAAUAUUGGGCAAUGGAGGCAACUCUGACCCAGCAAUGCCGCGUGCGGGAGGACGCCCUUCGGGGUGUAAACCGCUUUUCUCAGGGAGGAGCAAGGACCGUACCUGAGGAAGAAGUCACGGCUAACUACGUGCCAGCAGCCGCGGUAAUACGUAGGUGGCGAACGUUAUCCGGAGUUACUGGGCGUAAAGGGUCCGCAGGCGGGUCUGUAAGUCUGACGUGAAAUCUUCUGGCUCAACUAGAAGAGGUCGUUGG
RNAcentral lists this ribosomal RNA (275 nucleotides) under uncultured bacterium. RNAcentral describes it as "partial 16S ribosomal RNA". It matches the Rfam family "Bacterial small subunit ribosomal RNA", at positions 338 to 629 of the family's 1533-position model. The record is from RNAcentral.